AAAUUGAAGAGUUUGAUCAUGGCUCAGAUUGAACGCUGGCGGCAGGCCUAACACAUGCAAGUCGAACGGUAACAGAAAGCAGCUUGCUGCUUUGCUGACGAGUGGCGGACGGGUGAGUAAUGUCUGGGAAACUGCCUGAUGGAGGGGGAUAACUACUGGAAACGGUAGCUAAUACCGCAUAACGUCGCAAGACCAAAGAGGGGGACCUUAGGGCCUCUUGCCAUCGGAUGUGCCCAGAUGGGAUUAGCUAGUAGGUGGGGUAACGGCUCACCUAGGCGACGAUCCCUAGCUGGUCUGAGAGGAUGACCAGCCACACUGGAACUGAGACACGGUCCAGACUCCUACGGGAGGCAGCAGUGGGGAAUAUUGCACAAUGGGCGCAAGCCUGAUGCAGCCAUGCCGCGUGUAUGAAGAAGGCCUUCGGGUUGUAAAGUACUUUCAGCGGGGAGGAAGGGAGUAAAGUUAAUACCUUUGCUCAUUGACGUUACCCGCAGAAGAAGCACCGGCUAACUCCGUGCCAGCAGCCGCGGUAAUACGGAGGGUGCAAGCGUUAAUCGGAAUUACUGGGCGUAAAGCGCACGCAGGCGGUUUGUUAAGUCAGAUGUGAAAUCCCCGGGCUCAACCUGGGAACUGCAUCUGAUACUGGCAAGCUUGAGUCUCGUAGAGGGGGGUAGAAUUCCAGGUGUAGCGGUGAAAUGCGUAGAGAUCUGGAGGAAUACCGGUGGCGAAGGCGGCCCCCUGGACGAAGACUGACGCUCAGGUGCGAAAGCGUGGGGAGCAAACAGGAUUAGAUACCCUGGUAGUCCACGCCGUAAACGAUGUCGACUUGGAGGUUGUGCCCUUGAGGCGUGGCUUCCGGAGCUAACGCGUUAAGUCGACCGCCUGGGGAGUACGGCCGCAAGGUUAAAACUCAAAUGAAUUGACGGGGGCCCGCACAAGCGGUGGAGCAUGUGGUUUAAUUCGAUGCAACGCGAAGAACCUUACCUGGUCUUGACAUCCACGGAAGUUUUCAGAGAUGAGAAUGUGCCUUCGGGAACCGUGAGACAGGUGCUGCAUGGCUGUCGUCAGCUCGUGUUGUGAAAUGUUGGGUUAAGUCCCGCAACGAGCGCAACCCUUAUCCUUUGUUGCCAGCGGUCCGGCCGGGAACUCAAAGGAGACUGCCAGUGAUAAACUGGAGGAAGGUGGGGAUGACGUCAAGUCAUCAUGGCCCUUACGACCAGGGCUACACACGUGCUACAAUGGCGCAUACAAAGAGAAGCGACCUCGCGAGAGCAAGCGGACCUCAUAAAGUGCGUCGUAGUCCGGAUUGGAGUCUGCAACUCGACUCCAUGAAGUCGGAAUCGCUAGUAAUCGUGGAUCAGAAUGCCACGGUGAAUACGUUCCCGGGCCUUGUACACACCGCCCGUCACACCAUGGGAGUGGGUUGCAAAAGAAGUAGGUAGCUUAACCUUCGGGAGGGCGCUUACCACUUUGUGAUUCAUGACUGGGGUGAAGUCGUAACAAGGUAACCGUAGGGGAACCUGCGGUU
RNAcentral lists this ribosomal RNA (1528 nucleotides) under Escherichia coli. Its description in RNAcentral is "bacterial SSU rRNA". It matches the Rfam family "Bacterial small subunit ribosomal RNA". The record is from RNAcentral. Lineage: Bacteria; Pseudomonadati; Pseudomonadota; Gammaproteobacteria; Enterobacterales; Enterobacteriaceae.